GUAGGGGUUCUGAGAGGAAGGUCCCCCACACUGGUACUGAGACACGGACCAGACUCCUACGGGAGGCAGCAGUGAGGAAUAUUGGUCAAUGGGAGAGAUCCUGAACCAGCCAAGCCGCGUGAGGGAAGACGGCCCUAUGGGUUGUAAACCUCUUUUGUCGGAGAACAAAACCCGGGACGAGUCCCGGACUGCGUGUAUCCGAAGAAAAAGCAUCGGCUAACUCCGUGCCAGCAGCCGCGGUAAUACGGAGGAUGCGAGCGUUAUCCGGAUUUAUUGGGUUUAAAGGGUGCGUAGGCGGUCUGUUAAGUCAGCGGUAAAAUUGCGGGGCUCAACCCCGUCGAGCCGUUGAAACUGGCAGACUUGAGUUGGCGAGAAGUACGCGGAAUGCGCGGUGUAGCGGUGAAAUGCAUAGAUAUCGCGCAGAACUCCGAUUGCGAAGGCAGCGUACCGGCGCCAGACUGACGCUGAGGCACGAAAGCGUGGGGAUCGAACAGGAUUAGAUACCCUGGUAGUCCACGCAGUAAACGAUGAAUGCUGGUUGUCCGGGUCGAAUGAGACCUGG
Molecule: ribosomal RNA, 562 nt
Filed under: uncultured bacterium
Lineage: Bacteria
Description: bacterial SSU rRNA
Rfam family: Bacterial small subunit ribosomal RNA
Source: RNAcentral